GGCCACAUCUGCCAGAGCCUGGAGUCUGCGAAGGCCGGGACCCGGUUCCCCGGCCCACAGUGGGGGUGUGCAAACCCGAGAGAACUGGGAAGUGCCGUCAGAAGCGAUAACUGACGACGUCUAAUGUCUAUCUGACCGCAGUCGCUGAAACCUCUACAACUUAGUUGACCGUAACUGCCAGAGCCCUGCCCUGAAUUCCUGUCCUUACUCCCUCUUUAAGAUUGCGUACCCACUGCAGAGUGCUGAAGACGGGGUAGCCACGAGGUUGCAAAUUCGUGAAGAAUCAGCAUCAUGUUUGGCAGCUGAGUAUUGGAGCCAGGAGCCUGCCAUGAGCCGAUGCAGCCUCAGUGUUCCUUUGCCUUGGGGGUUUCUGAGUGGUGGGGUUGUAAGCAGAUCCUGCCAGGCACCCAGAAGGAAACCUCAUCAGGACUCCCUCAGAAAGCAGGCCCUGAAGAAUCCUGUGACCUUCAUCUAAAGUAGGUCAUGAGACCCCUGAGCUUAAAACGGAGUGAUCGGCUUUGGAGAAAAAUCCCUGGAAGGCACGCAGGCUGGACAUCAUCAUAUAUUCUCUACAGAUGGAGACACCAAGGCCCACGCCUUCUGUGCUGUUGGAAUUUCAGGAAGGAUGGGGGUGGGGCACGGCCUCAGCCCUGGGCAUGUUCUGCAGAUUGCACUGCUCUUAUCUGCCAGGGGGUGGUGAGAGGGUGGCUGAGCUGGACAGAUGGCGGGCAGGGACGGGCUCUGCGGUCUGGCAGCUGACAUUGAUACAAGCAAAAAAAGAGUCUUUGCUGGGG
Molecule: long non-coding RNA, 794 nt
Organism: Homo sapiens (human)
Lineage: Eukaryota; Metazoa; Chordata; Mammalia; Primates; Hominidae
Gene: SNHG29
Product: small nucleolar RNA host gene 29
Source: Ensembl